This is a long non-coding RNA of Gavialis gangeticus (Gharial), 1999 nucleotides long. RefSeq lists it as uncharacterized. The transcript is spliced from 2 exons. NCBI's taxonomy places the organism in Eukaryota, Metazoa, Chordata, Crocodylia, Gavialidae. The record is from RefSeq and is a predicted model, not a curated record.
AGUGCCUCUGUUCAAAGCUUACCCUUCUUUGGGGCUGGAGCCGGAGAGGCAGAGAGAGAGAUGUGCCCGACUGUUGCAGAUGGACCCGAUCGCUUAGGCCUGAUCAAACAUUGCUCAGUGUAAUUGCAUUAGAAGUUCUUGGGCUUUUAAGGCUCCCCUUCAAAGACAGGGGCAGCAAACUGACCUGUGAACUGCUUGCAAACUGUCCUGUUUGCUUCUCCCUGGUUGUCUGGAGUGUCUCCUUAUAUACCUCUCCUGGGCCAGGACUGGCUUAGGCCCCUUUGUUAAAGCCUUUUGUCACACCUAGGCAGAAAUCAAUCAGCAAUCAGCCCACCCAGUUGCUCGGAGCACAGACCCAAGCGCAUAAUCCACCAAACAACCCUCAGCAAGCCAACCACACGGGCCACUCUGGCUCACUUACCUUCCCAGAGCAGGAUCUGGUGCCUGGUUCCUCUUCCCCUUCCUCCUAUUGCUCCCAGCAAACUUCUUGCAAGUUGUCCUGUUUGCUUUCCCCUGUCCAUUGGCCUUAGGAGACUCUUCCCGCUUUCCAAUAAGAAAUUAACUUACCCUAUUUCCGUUUCAACACUAGAGAAAGAGUCAGCCUGCUGAGGUAGGUUUGAGUUCGGGAAACCCAAUUCAGACAUCCCUGGGUUCUGAUCCAUCUUAAAAUAGUCUCAGUCACUUUAAAUAAAAAAGGAUCCUGGUUCUUGAGUGUCCUCAAAUAUAAAUGUGCAAUGAAAUCAAGGAGGGAAUUUGGUGCAAUUAAUAUAAUAUGUCUGUAUAAUCUAAAGAGACUCUAUCCCUUAAAAGAAUUUAACUAAAGUGCAGUUCUAAUAUAAUGACUUUUUCCAGACUAAACCUCUAAAAACACUGAUGGAAAAUUAAUUUAUUCUAUUUAUUUUUCCCUUCCCAGUUGAAUCUGCUUUUAUUUAAUGCCAGAUAGUAUGGUUGAACUUUCAAUGGGGCUCAUUUAAAAAACUUCUAGAAUUGAUUGAUUUAGAGCUGCCUUCCCCACAUUUAGCUAGAUAGAUGCUUGAAUCUGAGUGUCAUGAGCUACACAAUAACAGCAUCACUCAACAGCUCUUGUUACGUUUUGGCUGUAACUUCCACCAUUAUAGAUUUUUUUUUUUUUUUUUUUAAACCAACCUAUUUUUUAGAGCUGAGCCUGGUUUGACAACUCUCAAGAGAAAUCAGCUCCUCCAUAAUAGAUCAUAAAUGCCUAACAAGUGCCUCAAACCUUUAAGGCCUGGAGUGACCACUGCCCACAUCUCUAAAGUCCAGUCAUCUGCGGGCUGGCUUGUAAGAGACAAGGGAGCCAGCUGGGAUGGCAGUGGUUCUGCAAGAGGUAGGACAUAUGCCUGCCUUUGUGAUCCCCUGCUGGGAACCAGGUCGGCUACUGGUCCAACUCACAACAACCCCAGGGCUGCUCUGACUUUUCACUAGCUGGGGAUUAUCGGAGGCACUGCAGCUCUGCCCCUGAGCUACACUAUUUAGGACUGCUGUAGCUAGUGCCAAGUGUUUAGCUAAGAGUGCAAGCUGGGUGUGAACGGGGGCUUGUUCACACCUAGGUUAAAAUGGCAGCAAUUUAGUGGCAGGUUUUGAACUGACCCCAAUGACUAUCAUAAUGCUUCUCCCUCAGACCCCCUGGCACUGUCCAGUGACCUUUAGUAAAAGCGAGGUCAACUCUCUGCAAAGUCCAUCGGCUUUAGAAAAUUACCUUCUAAAACAAACCACUGCCUUUACGCGGAGACAAAUGAUUUGUUUGGUUUAUGGCAGCUUGCCCUUCUUACUCUAUGCUAUUCUUAACUUUUCCCUUAUGACUCCCUCCCCUAGUUUCCUCCACUAGUCUGCCUUCAACCGCCCCAUCACGUAGGUAGGGACUAAGCAACAAUCUGCUUUUUGUGUAGUCAAGAGAGGAAGAGCCUUGACGUUUUUUUCUAAACAAUAGUCUUAUUAUGCGUCUCUUGUCCAGGUGAAAUAGAAUUCCUUAUUAACUAAA